UACGAAGGGGGCUAGCGUUGCUCGGAAUGACUGGGCGUAAAGCGCACGUAGGCGGCUUUCUAAGUUGGGGGUGAAAUCCUGGAGCUCAACUCCAGAACUGCCUUCGAUACUGGAGAGCUUGAGUCCGGGAGAGGUGAGUGGAACUGCGAGUGUAGAGGUGAAAUUCGUAGAUAUUCGCAAGAACACCAGUGGCGAAGGCGGCUCACUGGCCCGGUACUGACGCUGAGGUGCGAAAGCGUGGGGAGCAAACAGG
This 253-nucleotide ribosomal RNA is filed under the name uncultured bacterium. RNAcentral describes it as "partial 16S ribosomal RNA". It matches the Rfam family "Bacterial small subunit ribosomal RNA", at positions 524 to 776 of the family's 1533-position model. The record is from RNAcentral.